GACGAACGCUGGCGGCGUGCCUAAUACAUGCAAGUAGAACGCUGAAGGAGGAGCUUGCUUCUCUGGAUGAGUUGCGAUCGGGUGAGUAACGCGUAGGUAACCUGCCUGGUAGCGGGGGAUAACUAUUGGAAACGAUAGCUAAUACCGCAUAAGAGUAGAUGUUGCAUGACAUUUGCUUAAAAGGUGCAAUUGCAUCACUACCAGAUGGACCUGCGUUGUAUUAGCUAGUUGGUGGGGUAACGGCUCACCAAGGCGACGAUACAUAGCCGACCUGAGAGGGUGAUCGGCCACACUGGGACUGAGACACGGCCCAGACUCCUACGGGAGGCAGCAGUAGGGAAUCUUCGGCAAUGGACGGAAGUCUGACCGAGCAACGCCGCGUGAGUGAAGAAGGUUUUCGGAUCGUAAAGCUCUGUUGUAAGAGGAGAACGAGUGUGAGAGUGGAAAGUUCACACUGUGACGGUAUCUUACCAGAAAGGGACGGCUAACUACGUG
RNAcentral lists this ribosomal RNA (495 nucleotides) under uncultured bacterium. Its description in RNAcentral is "partial 16S ribosomal RNA". It matches the Rfam family "Bacterial small subunit ribosomal RNA", at positions 28 to 507 of the family's 1533-position model. The record is from RNAcentral.